RNAcentral lists this ribosomal RNA (338 nucleotides) under uncultured bacterium. RNAcentral describes it as "bacterial SSU rRNA". It matches the Rfam family "Bacterial small subunit ribosomal RNA", at positions 373 to 710 of the family's 1533-position model. The record is from RNAcentral.
GGGCGAUGGCCUGAACCGCCAGCUAGCGUGAAGGAUGACUGCCCUAUGGGUGUAAACUUCUUUUAUAAAGGAAUAAAGUCGGGUAUGCAUACCCGUUUGCAUGUACUUUAUGAAUAAGGAUCGGCUAACUCCGUGCCAGCAGCCGCGGUAAUACGGAGGAUCCGAGCGUUAUCCGGAUUUAUUGGGUUUAAAGGGAGCGUAGAUGGAUGUUUAAGUCAGUUGUGAAAGUUUGCGGCUCAACCGUAAAAUUGCAGUUGAUACUGGAUGUCUUGAGUGCAGUUGAGGCAGGCGGAAUUCGUGGUGUAGCGGUGAAAUGCUUAGAUAUCACGAAGAACUCC